RNAcentral lists this ribosomal RNA (497 nucleotides) under uncultured bacterium. Its description in RNAcentral is "partial 16S ribosomal RNA". It matches the Rfam family "Bacterial small subunit ribosomal RNA", at positions 28 to 507 of the family's 1533-position model. The record is from RNAcentral.
GAUGAACGCUGGCGGCGUGCCUAAUACAUGCAAGUCGAGCGAACAGACUAGGAGCUUGCUCCUUUGACGUUAGCGGCGGACGGGUGAGUAACACGUAGGUAACCUACCUAUAAGACUGGGAUAACUUCGGGAAACCGGAGCUAAUACCGGAUAAUAUUUCGAACCGCAUGGUUCGAUAGUGAAAGAUGGCUUUGCUUUCACUUAUAGAUGUACCUGCGCCGUAUUAGCUAGUUGGUAAGGUAACGGCUUACCAAGGCAACGAUACGUAGCCGACCUGAGAGGGUGAUCGGCCACAAUGGAACUGAGACACGGUCCAGACUCCUACGGGAGGCAGCAGUAGGGAAUCUUCCGCAAAGGGCGAAAGCCUGACGGAGCAACGCCGCGUGAGUGAUGAAGGUCUUCGGAUCGUAAAACUCUGUUAUUAGGGAAGAACAAACGUGUAAGUAACUGUGCACGUCUUGACGGUACCUAAUCAGAAAGCCACGGCUAACUACGUG